UACAAGCUGCUCAAGACCCAUUUUCACAUGUCCAUACAUUUAGGUACAUUACAUACAUCAAAAUAAACUUCUACAACAGGGUAUAAAAUAUACCCGAUAUAACUUCAAGCUGAUAGAUCAUCAAUCCUUUGCAGCUCAGUCUCCUACUCCUCUAGUCUCUAUAUUCAAUAGCCCGGGCUGAGCCCAAAGCAAUACUGACUCUAGUGUUCCAAGUUAGU
RNAcentral lists this unclassified non-coding RNA (218 nucleotides) under Hevea brasiliensis (rubber tree). Lineage: Eukaryota; Viridiplantae; Streptophyta; Magnoliopsida; Malpighiales; Euphorbiaceae. The record is from RNAcentral.